Molecule: ribosomal RNA, 305 nt
Filed under: uncultured bacterium
Lineage: Bacteria
Description: bacterial SSU rRNA
Rfam family: Bacterial small subunit ribosomal RNA
Source: RNAcentral
CUCCUACGGGAGGCAGCAGUAGGGAAUCUUUCACAAUGGGCGAAAGCCUGAUGGAGCAACGCCGCGUGCAGGAUGAAGGCCUUCGGGUUGUAAACUGCUUUUAUAAGCGAGAAAUAUGAUGGUAACUUAUGAAUAAGCACCGGCUAACUCCGUGCCAGCAGCCGCGGUAAUACGGAGGGUGCAAGCGUUACUCGGAAUCACUGGGCGUAAAGAGUGCGUAGGCGGGGUAAUAAGUCGGAUGUGAAAUCUUGUAGCUUAACUACAGAACUGCAUUUGAAACUGUUACUCUGGAGUGUGGGAGGGGG